CUACUCUCGGUUGGAAACCCAGGACUAAAGGGGGUUACCAACCGGGAGUAAA
RNAcentral lists this unclassified non-coding RNA (52 nucleotides) under Oryza sativa (Asian cultivated rice). Its description in RNAcentral is "partial microRNA MIR462d precursor". The record is from RNAcentral. Lineage: Eukaryota; Viridiplantae; Streptophyta; Magnoliopsida; Poales; Poaceae.